GACGAACGCUGGCGGCGUGCUUAACACAUGCAAGUCGAACGGAAAGGCCUUUUCGUAGGUACUCGAGUGGCGAACGGGUGCGUAACACGUGGGUGAUCUGCCCUGCACUCUGGGAUAAGCCUGGGAAACUGGGUCUAAUACCGGAUAGGACCGCACUUUAGUGUGUGUGGUGGAAAGUUUUUUCGGUGUAGGAUGAGCCCGCGGCCUAUCAGCUUGUUGGUGGGGUAAUGGCCUACCAAGGCGGCGACGGGUAGCCGGACUGAGAGGUUGGUCGGCCACAUUGGGACUGAGAUACGGCCCAGACUCCUACGGGAGGCAGCAGUGGGGAAUAUUGCACAAUGGGCGCAAGCCUGAUGCAGCGACGCCGCGUGGGGGAUGACGGCCUUCGGGUUGUAAACUCCUUUCGCCAGGGACGAAGCGUUUUGUGACGGUACCUGGAGAAGAAGCACCGGCUAACUACGUG
This 463-nucleotide ribosomal RNA is filed under the name uncultured bacterium. RNAcentral's name for it is "partial 16S ribosomal RNA". It matches the Rfam family "Bacterial small subunit ribosomal RNA", at positions 28 to 507 of the family's 1533-position model. The record is from RNAcentral.